This 481-nucleotide ribosomal RNA is filed under the name uncultured bacterium. RNAcentral's name for it is "bacterial SSU rRNA". It matches the Rfam family "Bacterial small subunit ribosomal RNA", at positions 30 to 507 of the family's 1533-position model. The record is from RNAcentral.
AUUGAACGCUGGCGGCAUGCUUUACACAUGCAAGUCGAACGGUAACAGGUCUUCGGAUGCCGACGAGUGGCGAACGGGUGAGUAAUGCAUCGGAACGUGCCCAGUCGUGGGGGAUAACGCAGCGAAAGCUGUGCUAAUACCGCAUACGAUCUAUGGAUGAAAGCGGGGGACCGUAAGGCCUCGCGCGAUUAGAGCGGCCGAUAUCUGAUUAGCUUGUUGGUGGGGUAAAAGCCCACCAAGGCGACGAUCAGUAGCUGGUCUGAGAGGACGAUCAGCCACACUGGGACUGAGACACGGCCCAGACUCCUACGGGAGGCAGCAGUGGGGAAUUUUGGACAAUGGGGGCAACCCUGAUCCAGCAAUGCCGCGUGAGUGAAGAAGGCCUUCGGGUUGUAAAGCUCUUUUGUCAGGGAAGAAACAGCAGCUCUAACACAGUCUGCGAAUGACGGUACCUGAAGAAUAAGCACCGGCUAACUACGUG